CCUACGGGAGGCAGCAGUGCGUAAUUUUGGUCAAUGGGCUCGAGCCUGAACCAGCCAAGUAGCGUUACGGAUGACUGCCCUACGGGUUGUAAACUUCUUUUAUAAAGGAAUAAAGUGAGGCACGUGUGCCUUUUUUUAUGUACUUUAUGAAUAAGGAUCGGCUAACUCCGUGCCAGCAGCCGCGGUAAUACGGAGGAUCCGAGCGUUAUCCGGAUUUAUUGGGUUUAAAGGGAGCGUAGAUGGGUUGUUAAGUCAGUUGUGAAAGUUUGCGGCUCAACCGUAAAAUUGCAAUUGAUACUGGCAGCCUUGAGUACAGUUGAGGUAGGCGGAAUUCGUGGUGUAGCGGUGAAAUGCUUAGAUAUCACGAAGAACUUCGAUUGCGAAGGCAGCCUACUAAACUGCCACUGACAUUGAUGCUCGAAAGUGUGGGUAUCAAACAGGAUUAGAUACCCUUGUAGUC
RNAcentral lists this ribosomal RNA (460 nucleotides) under uncultured bacterium. RNAcentral describes it as "partial 16S ribosomal RNA". It matches the Rfam family "Bacterial small subunit ribosomal RNA", at positions 338 to 795 of the family's 1533-position model. The record is from RNAcentral.